GACGAACGCUGGCGGCGUGCUUAACACAUGCAAGUCGAACGGAAAGGCCCUGCUGUUGUUGGGUUCUCGAGUGGCGAACGGGUGAGUAACACGUGAGUAACCGGCCCUUGACUUUGGUAUAACUUCAGGAAACUCGUGCUAAUACCGGAUAGUAGCUCCUGCGGCAUGGUGGGGCUUGCAGAGUUUCGUCGGUUGGGGAUAGACUCGCGGCUUGUCAGCUUGGUGGUGGGGUAGUGGCUUACCCAGGCUUUGACGGUUAGCCGACCGGUGAGGGUGCACGGGCAAAUUAGCGUUGAGAUCCGGCACAGAUUCCUACGUGAGGUAGAAGGGGGAAAUUGUCCAGAUUGGGCGGGAGCCUGAUGCAGCAACGCCGCGUGCGGGAAGUCGAACUUUGGGUUGUAAACCGCUUUCGCCUGUGACAUGGCGUGCGUGACGGUAAUGGGUACAGAAGCAACGGCCAACUACGUG
RNAcentral lists this ribosomal RNA (468 nucleotides) under uncultured bacterium. RNAcentral's name for it is "partial 16S ribosomal RNA". It matches the Rfam family "Bacterial small subunit ribosomal RNA", at positions 28 to 507 of the family's 1533-position model. The record is from RNAcentral.